Molecule: ribosomal RNA, 497 nt
Filed under: uncultured bacterium
Lineage: Bacteria
Description: partial 16S ribosomal RNA
Rfam family: Bacterial small subunit ribosomal RNA
Source: RNAcentral
GACGAACGCUGGCGGCGUGCCUAAUACAUGCAAGUAGAACGCUGAAGAGAGGAGCUUGCUCUUCUUGGAUGAGUUGCGAACGGGUGAGUAACGCGUAGGUAACCUGCCUUGUAGCGGGGGAUAACUAUUGGAAACGAUAGCUAAUACCGCAUAACAAUGGAUGACACAUGUCAUUUAUUUGAAAGGGGCAAUUGCUCCACUACAAGAUGGACCUGCGUUGUAUUAGCUAGUAGGUGAGGUAAUGGCUCACCUAGGCGACGAUACAUAGCCGACCUGAGAGGGUGAUCGGCCACACUGGGACUGAGACACGGCCCAGACGCCUACGGGAGGCAGCAGUAGGGAAUCUUCGGCAAUAGGGGCAACCCUGACCGAGCAACGCCGCGUGAGUGAAGAAGGUUUUCGGAUCGUAAAGCUCUGUUGUAAGUCAAGAACGGGGGUGAGAGUGGAAAGUUCACACUGUGACGGUAGCUUACCAGAAAGGGACGGCUAACUACGUG